UGAGCUAUGAUGAUAUAGGCU
Molecule: non-coding RNA, 21 nt
Filed under: Arabidopsis thaliana (thale cress)
Lineage: Eukaryota; Viridiplantae; Streptophyta; Magnoliopsida; Brassicales; Brassicaceae
Source: RNAcentral